UACAGAGGUCUCAAGCGUUGUUCGGAUUUAUUGGGCGUAAAGAGCUCGUAGGCGGCUUGUCGCGGCGGCUGUGAAAUCCCGUGGCUCAACUGCGGGUCUGCAGCCGAUACGGGCAGGCUAGAGUUCGGUAGGGGAGACUGGAAUUCCUGGUGUAGCGGUGAAAUGCGCAGAUAUCAGGAGGAACACCGAUGGCGAAGGCAGGUCUCUGGGCCGAUACUGACGCUGAGGAGCGAAAGCGUGGGGAGCGAACAGG
RNAcentral lists this ribosomal RNA (253 nucleotides) under uncultured bacterium. Its description in RNAcentral is "partial 16S ribosomal RNA". It matches the Rfam family "Bacterial small subunit ribosomal RNA", at positions 524 to 776 of the family's 1533-position model. The record is from RNAcentral.